Molecule: long non-coding RNA, 506 nt
Filed under: Vigna radiata
Lineage: Eukaryota; Viridiplantae; Streptophyta; Magnoliopsida; Fabales; Fabaceae
Description: long non-coding RNA (VRAD_LNC016398)
Source: RNAcentral
GAAUAAUUUGCUUGCUUGUCACACAUGAUCAAGGCCAUGUUUUUCUUCUACCUCAAAUAAGCCAAUACAAACCUCUUGGACCUUAAUGAAAGAUGUUUGCCCUCUUUGAACCUCAAACCUAAUGAAAAUUCCCUGAUUUCCCUACCUUGAGCUGAAUAGAGAAUUCAUGUUUGCUGCAGGAGAAUGGUUUAAAGUUUGGGGGAGUUUGUUAUGUAAGGGUGAAUUGAGAAAAAUAAAAAUAAAAAAAAUGAGGAAAAAGAAGAAAGAAAAAGAUAAAGAAAAAGAAUUGAAUGAAAGAAAGUUGGGCUAUAAGUCAGAAAGUGGUUGCAACUUAAGUGAAGCAAAAGAGAAACUUACAUGCAUGAUUGGAAUUGUUUAAUCUCUUAGCUCAAGGUGCUUUGUUAUCCAUAAAAACCAUGUUUCUUUCUUAGCCCAACCUCAAUACAAGCCAAUGAAAGUCCUUGUGAUGUUGACUUGCUUGUGAAUGUGUUUAAUUUGAUUGAAAC